RNAcentral lists this ribosomal RNA (862 nucleotides) under Bacillus sp. M11(2010). RNAcentral describes it as "bacterial SSU rRNA". It matches the Rfam family "Bacterial small subunit ribosomal RNA", at positions 107 to 954 of the family's 1533-position model. The record is from RNAcentral. Lineage: Bacteria; Bacillati; Bacillota; Bacilli; Caryophanales; Bacillaceae.
UGAGUAACACGUGGGUAACCUGCCUGUAAGACUGGGAUAACUCCGGGAAACCGGAGCUAAUACCGGAUAGUUCCUUGAACCGCAUGGUUCAAGGAUGAAAGACGGUUUCGGCUGUCACUCACAGAUGGACCCGCGGCGCAUUAGCUAGUUGGUGGGGUAAUGGCUCACCAAGGCGACGAUGCGUAGCCGACCUGAGAGGGUGAUCGGCCACACUGGGACUGAGACACGGCCCAGACUCCUACGGGAGGCAGCAGUAGGGAAUCUUCCGCAAUGGACGAAAGUCUGACGGAGCAACGCCGCGUGAGUGAUGAAGGUUUUCGGAUCGUAAAGCUCUGUUGUUAGGGAAGAACAAGUGCGAGAGUAACUGCUCGCACCUUGACGGUACCUAACCAGAAAGCCACGGCUAACUACGUGCCAGCAGCCGCGGUAAUACGUAGGUGGCAAGCGUUGUCCGGAAUUAUUGGGCGUAAAGGGCUCGCAGGCGGUUUCUUAAGUCUGAUGUGAAAGCCCCCGGCUCAACCGGGGAGGGUCAUUGGAAACUGGGAAACUUGAGUGCAGAAGAGGAGAGUGGAAUUCCACGUGUAGCGGUGAAAUGCGUAGAGAUGUGGAGGAACACCAGUGGCGAAGGCGACUCUCUGGUCUGUAACUGACGCUGAGGAGCGAAAGCGUGGGGAGCGAACAGGAUUAGAUACCCUGGUAGUCCACGCCGUAAACGAUGAGUGCUAAGUGUUAGGGGGUUUCCGCCCCUUAGUGCUGCAGCUAACGCAUUAAGCACUCCGCCUGGGGAGUACGGUCGCAAGACUGAAACUCAAAGGAAUUGACGGGGGCCCGCACAAGCGGUGGAGCAUGUGGUUUAAUUCGA